This 76-nucleotide transfer RNA is filed under the name Nitrospinota bacterium. RNAcentral's name for it is "tRNA-Pro". The stretch from base 14 to 70 matches the Rfam family "tRNA", at positions 9 to 63 of the family's 71-position model. From Rfam's summary of the family: Transfer RNA (tRNA) molecules are approximately 80 nucleotides in length. Their secondary structure includes four short double-helical elements and three loops (D, anti-codon, and T loops). The record is from RNAcentral. Lineage: Bacteria; Pseudomonadati; Nitrospinota.
AGAAAGCUAAUUGAAUUAAUUGAUUAAUAUACCUGCCUUGGGAGCAGGGGGUCGGAGGUUCAAAUCCUCUCUCCCA